This 696-nucleotide ribosomal RNA is filed under the name uncultured bacterium. RNAcentral's name for it is "bacterial SSU rRNA". It matches the Rfam family "Bacterial small subunit ribosomal RNA", at positions 32 to 715 of the family's 1533-position model. The record is from RNAcentral.
AACGCUAGCUACAGGCUUAACACAUGCAAGUCGAGGGGAAACGAUAUUGGAAGCUUGCUUCCGAUAGGCGUCGACCGGCGCACGGGUGAGUAACGCGUAUCCAACCUGCCCACCACUUGGGGAUAACCUUGCGAAAGUAAGACUAAUACCCAAUGAUAUCUCUAGAAGACAUCUGAAAGAGAUUAAAGAUUUAUCGGUGAUGGAUGGGGAUGCGUCUGAUUAGCUUGUUGGCGGGGUAACGGCCCACCAAGGCGACGAUCAGUAGGGGUUCUGAGAGGAAGGUCCCCCACAUUGGAACUGAGACACGGUCCAAACUCCUACGGGAGGCAGCAGUGAGGAAUAUUGGUCAAUGGACGAGAGUCUGAACCAGCCAAGUAGCGUGCAGGAAGACGGCCCUAUGGGUUGUAAACUGCUUUUAUAAGGGAAUAAAGUGAGCCUCGUGAGGCUUUUUGCAUGUACCUUAUGAAUAAGGACCGGCUAAUUCCGUGCCAGCAGCCGCGGUAAUACGGAAGGUCCAGGCGUUAUCCGGAUUUAUUGGGUUUAAAGGGAGCGUAGGCCGUCUGUUAAGCGUGUUGUGAAAUGUAGAUGCUCAACAUCUGAAUUGCAGCGCGAACUGGCAGACUUGAGUGUGCGCAACGUAGGCGGAAUUCGUGGUGUAGCGGUGAAAUGCUUAGAUAUCACGAAGAACUCCGAUUG